Molecule: long non-coding RNA, 106 nt
Organism: Maniola jurtina (meadow brown)
Lineage: Eukaryota; Metazoa; Arthropoda; Insecta; Lepidoptera; Nymphalidae
Exons: 4
Source: RefSeq, a predicted model, not a curated record
GCGGGCAUCCUCUAGUAAUUCAUAAAUUUAGCCAAUAACAACAAUUGCGAUUGUAAUAAUGAUUGAUGCAGGUUUUGCGGAAUCGAGCUACAGGCUUUAAUAGCAA